CUCAGAUCACAGAGAGGAAAUCAUCAUCAUCAUCAUCACACGGACUCAGAUGGCCCGAGGCGCUGCGUCGUUGAAAUUGGAUAUUUAAGGCAGCGGAGAAAGCAGUUCACGUUCACUCUCAGCGGGCGAGCGGCCAGAGAGGCAGAGAGGGAGUAGACGCGCCGCGCGCUCUGGAACUGACUGACAAAUAAUAUGAGACUACAGUGCUGUGAACGGCUCUUCUCAUAACGUGACCGGGAAGAGAACAAGGUACAGACUGAAAGAGCACCCGUUCAACGCGGAGGCUUUCUGAGGAGGACGGUAGAUGACCGCGAGCGUUCACUUCAGCGUGCGUUACCGGUGCGUCACCUUUCAGAAGAACGCGUGUCACUGAACUCCAGCCGCAGGUCCGAAAUCUUGAGCGGGAUGAAGUGUGCUGUCAGCAUACUGGAAACGCUAAACCGGCUUGUAGGAGGCAGAGAGCUGAGUGUCUCUCAACGAAUAUGUAAUGCAACACCAACUCUGAUUCUGCUGAGACCUGCGAACGAAGGCUUAGGAGGUGCAGAGCAAGGCAGCUGAAGUGGGAGAGCUGAAGGUGACCUGUGGCUGGGCCGGGGGCUGCAACACAGGACAUGGGAGCUGCCUCUCACUCCCGCUCGUGUCUUGUGUUGCAGCCAGUGGAACUGCUGCACUGUCCACAUCAGAGACGGAAGGAAGGAUCACGCUCGGGGAACGUUACACCAUCUUACAGCGGCUGCCUGUGAAAUCAUAACUCUUCUCAUCUUCUUUUGAAAGGAAAACACAAAGCUGAUAAUGAUGUGUAAGUUUCUGAAUAAAAUACAUAAUAGCUUUUCAAAUGAAUGUGAUAAGUGCAAAUGAAUAGCAGUAAGUACUUCUUUGUAAUAGGGUAAGUGAUAUAACACUCAUUUUGUGAUUGGAUAUAUAUUCUUUUAUUCAAAGAAAGAUUAAAAAUGCAAUGUGAAAAAUAAAAAGGUUGUAUUAAUAGGCCAACAUUCAUUUAGUGAAAAAUACUUUGGCGUGAUGUUUUUUCUUGAAUUAAAAAAAAUACAGCUUUGUAAAAUAUUAGUAGUAAUAUGGUCAUAUUUUACAUAAUACUAUAAUAUUUUAGAUAUUAUACAGUACUCUUUAAAAGUUUGGGGACAGUAAGAUUUUUUCCCUUUGAGAAAAAUGUAUACUUUUUUAUUUAUCAAGAAUACAUCAAAUUGAUCAAAAGUAAGUUUAAAAAAAGAUCUGUUUGAAAUAUAUUCUUUUCUAUUAAUGAAAGAAUCCUGAAACAAGUACCAAGGUUUUCAAAUAAAUAAAUAAAAAAAAUGUUUAUACAACAGUUCUUUCUGGUCCUUAAAUCUGAUUGGCUAAGAGGAGUGUGAUAUUCUAGUGAAUUCAGAACGCCAACCGUUUCACCGUUUGUAUCAUUCCACUUGCAGUAUUUUUAAUGGCGGAUGCCCAAAACCACUAUAAUUGUAUAAAUAAUACAGCCCUACCUCAGCCAGAUCUUUUGGAAUUUGCUGCUGGCUCUGAUGUCUCUGUAGUGGUCAAACAUUAAAAAUAAUUAGUUGUGGGUGAAUCUAACAGGUCUUUGGUCUCAUUAAUCUUCUCGUUAAUUUAAUUUAUAAUCACGUAUUUUAUGUAAAUUUAAUGCUGUAUAUCAGAGCACUACCUUUGUACUUUUGACUGUAUUGCCUAGCAACUUUUAUUUUUAUUAUACAAAUAAUAGUAGCCUUUAUUAACAGUAUUUAGUAUUGAGAAACGGUGUGUUUUCAUGAUUUUAGUUACAUUAUUCCACCAUUAGAUGGUGACGAGAGGCUGUUUUAAUGAGCCAGUCAGCAAUAAAGACUUUUAUAUUGAAAGAGACUGAAACAGUGUUGUAAACAAGCAAGUUAUUUUUACUUUCAACAAAAGCUUAUAAGACGCAGCCAACAAAUGCACUCAGCAGCAGGGUUGCCAGAUUUUCACAACAAAAUCCACCCAAUUGCUACUCAAAACUAGCCCAAUCGCGUUUCGAGGAAGUUCCCCUAGUAAAAAUCGUAUUGCGGGGGGUAAAAUACACAUCUUUUGGUGGGGUUCCCCUGGUACAUUUCGCAUACCUGGAGCUAAAUAUAACAUUAUUGGGGUUGCUUCAACCCGCGGACAUGAAUAACAAACUGUGAACUUGGCAACACUGCUGUGCAGUGCUGUCAUUGGAAAUUACCCUUAAUAGAUGAAAGAAUAGCACAACAAAGAUAUCACACCUCAGUGGACAUUCAAAACUAAUGUUUUAUUAUGAAUAUGAGAUUGAGCUGAAGAAUGAAUGCAGGUAAUCACACUCAUUCAGUCCGUCUCUUUCUCAUAAUACGCUACAGUGAGCUUUUAAUGCAGUAAUACAAUAAGCUUUCAAUGAAGCAACUUAAUGUUUCUUUGUUACCAUUUCUAAAAUGACAUUUUCAAAUUAGUAACGGAGGCUUGGUCUCAGCUGUAAAACUGUCAAACUGAGAUUUGAAUUUGUGGCAGAAGAAAGUAGUUUGCACAAAAGAGUGUUUUUAAAGACACUCCAUUAUUGUUUCUUAUGUAUUUACACACUCCUGUCAUCGAACUGUUGUAUAAAUCCAAUAUAUCGCCUUCGUAGCCGUGCGACAUUAACAUUGCUAUUAACAUUGAUAAUAGUAAGAAAUAUUCCUUGAGCAGCAAAUCAGCAUAUUGAACGAUCAUGUGACACUGAAGACUAUUUACACCCCCAAGAAAACCAUGUAAAAUACUAAUCCUUUAAAAAAAAGAGUUUAUGAAACAACAACCCAAACCAAACAACCGUUUUAACUUUUUCAACUAACUCCUAACUAAUUCCUUUUCAUCAUCUUAGACACUUUUAUUUAUCCCAAGUUAAACUAGCAAUUUUGUCCCCUGUAGUAAGUGCAAACAUUUCAGUGUGACAGAGCGAGAACAUGUCAACACUGUCGCACCUGUGUUUAGUUUAGAAAAGCGUAAAAUGCACACUCUGGCUGUCUGGUGUUUUAUAAUGGUCUUUUACCUCCCUCAAGGCUAUGCAUGAAUAACACAGAUGAAGAAGCUUGGCUUUACCUCACACACUUAUAUACAGAUAGAAAUACACAGAGAAAAAGAAAAAAGAUGCCUCAGAUGCAGCAUGUGUAAAUAUUCGGAUCAUGUUGCCACUUUGCCAACUGAGACCCGCCAGAGCUGAAGAAAGGCAAGUGGCGCUGCCCAUUUAAACUUGUGAAAUGAAGUAGUUUUCUGUCAAGGAUGUCACUUGAUUGGAAUUUAAAUCCAACAGUAGCUCAAAGAGAAUUGUUUGUGCCAAACACAUUGUGAUGGGCUGAAUUCUGAAUGCAACAUGACAGGACUGACUGAGCUUUUAUGUGGAAAAGGACAAAACUGCAUUACUCAGUUACCUAUACACUCUCUAACAUGACA
Labeo rohita (rohu) is the source of this 3402-nucleotide long non-coding RNA. RefSeq lists it as uncharacterized. The record is from RefSeq and is a predicted model, not a curated record. The transcript has 3 exons. NCBI's taxonomy places the organism in Eukaryota, Metazoa, Chordata, Actinopteri, Cypriniformes, Cyprinidae.